UAUCGGGCAAUGGGCGCAAGCCUGACCCAGCAACGCCGCGUGAAGGAAGAAGGCUUUCGGGUUGUAAACUUCUUUUCUCAGGGACGAAGCAGGUGACGGUACCUGAGGAAUAAGCCACGGCUAACUACGUGCCAGCAGCCGCGGUAAUACGUAGGAGGCAAGCGUUAUCCGGAAUGACUGGGCGUAAAGGGUGCGUAGGUGGUUUGACAAGUUGGUAGCGUAACUCCGGGGCUCAACCUCGGCACUACUACCAAAACUGUUGGACUUGAGUGCAGGAGGGGCAAAUGGAAUUCCUAGUGUAGCGGUGGAAUGCGUAGAUAUUAGGAGGAACACCAGUGGCGAAGGCGAUUUGCUGGACUGUAACUGACACUGAGGCACGAAAGCGUGGGGAGCAAACAGG
This 400-nucleotide ribosomal RNA is filed under the name uncultured bacterium. Its description in RNAcentral is "bacterial SSU rRNA". It matches the Rfam family "Bacterial small subunit ribosomal RNA", at positions 362 to 776 of the family's 1533-position model. The record is from RNAcentral.